Molecule: ribosomal RNA, 460 nt
Filed under: uncultured bacterium
Lineage: Bacteria
Description: partial 16S ribosomal RNA
Rfam family: Bacterial small subunit ribosomal RNA
Source: RNAcentral
CCUACGGGUGGCAGCAGUGAGGAAUAUUGGUCAAUGGACGAGAGUCUGAACCAGCCAAGUAGCGUGAAGGAUGACUGCCCUAUGGGUUGUAAACUUCUUUUAUAUGGGAAUAAAACGUUCCACGUGUGGGAUUUUGUAUGUACCAUAUGAAUAAGGAUCGGCUAACUCCGUGCCAGCAGCCGCGGUAAUACGGAGGAUCCGAGCGUUAUCCGGAUUUAUUGGGUUUAAAGGGUGCGUAGGUGGAUUGUUAAGUCAGUUGUGAAAGUUUGCGGCUCAACCGUAAAAUUGCAGUUGAUACUGGCAGUCUUGAGUACAGUAGAGGUGGGCGGAAUUCGUGGUGUAGCGGUGAAAUGCUUAGAUAUCACGAAGAACUCCGAUUGCGAAGGCAGUUCACUGGACUGCAACUGACACUGAGGCUCGAAAGUGUUGGUAUCAAACAGGAUUAGAUACCCUAGUAGUC